UGAAGGAGUCAUCGGAACUGGCGGCACUUGAAGCAUCCAAAGGAUUCGAGAGACGAUAAUGUUCCCUGUUUCAAAUCUUUUUGAGGUGCUCAGUUUUUCUGUCGACAAGGUGGUUGUGGCGUUUGAUUUAUAUGGUUAGGGUUUUCCAGAAUUGGGCUGACGGGAGAUCCGGGCACUCCAAAUAAGUGAGACAGGCAAGAGUGAGCUACUUCCGUACCAGCUUGAAGGAUUGAAUUUCUUACGUUUCUCAUGGUCUAAAGUCUAAACAAACACAUGUGAUACUUGCAGACGAAAUGGGUCUUGGGAAACGAUACAAAGUAUUGCUUUUUUGGCAUCGUUGUCUAAAGAGAAUGUCUCCCCUCAUUUAGUAGCACCGCUUUCUACAUUAAGGAAUUGGGAACAUUAAUUUGCUAUAUGGGCUGCUAAUAUGAAUGUUUCGCAUCUUCUCCACACGAAGAAGAAACAACCUUCACUUUCAGACGUUAUUGCGGUAAUUAUAUUCCAGUUUUCUCUUAUUACUUCAUAUUGC
Molecule: long non-coding RNA, 529 nt
Organism: Helianthus annuus (common sunflower)
Lineage: Eukaryota; Viridiplantae; Streptophyta; Magnoliopsida; Asterales; Asteraceae
Exons: 6
Source: RefSeq, a predicted model, not a curated record